This 358-nucleotide ribosomal RNA is filed under the name Myurella affinis. RNAcentral describes it as "partial 12S ribosomal RNA". The record is from RNAcentral. Lineage: Eukaryota; Metazoa; Mollusca; Gastropoda; Neogastropoda; Terebridae.
UUUACCGGAGUACUAUGAAUAUUUAAACAUUUAAAACUUAAAGAACUUGGCGGUGUUUUAGACCACUUAGGGGAACCUGUCUCGUAAUCGACAAUCCGCGUUAAACCUGACCUUUUCUUGUUAUCAGUUUGUAUACCGUUGUCGUCAGGUAACUUUUUAGAAAUUAGAAGUUAGCGAUAAAAGCAAUUUAAUGACUUAGGACGUCAAAUCAAGGUGCAGCUAACGAAAAGGGGAGGAUGGGUUACAAUUAUUUGAUUUAUAAUAACGGACGAACAACAUGAAUAUGUUUCAAAUUAUAAGGUGGACUUGAAAGUAAAUUAGAUUAUAUAGAUAGUUUGAAUAAGGCUCUGAAACGUGU